This is a long non-coding RNA of Harmonia axyridis, 617 nucleotides long. RefSeq lists it as uncharacterized. The record is from RefSeq and is a predicted model, not a curated record. Lineage: Eukaryota; Metazoa; Arthropoda; Insecta; Coleoptera; Coccinellidae. The transcript has 2 exons.
UCUAUGGUAUUUUGUCUAUGGAAAUAACCACAGAUAACAACAGACCCAAAAUGCUAUCGUUGGGUUUGGGCAUCAAGAUAGAAUAUUCUAUCUCGAUGGGUUUGGGUAGCCUGCUUCGCAUUGACACUUGUCAUUGGUCUUCAAAAUUUUUAUUUGACAUAAGUAGGGAACCAUUGGAGAUAUUUUGUAUCUGUUUUCACCAUCUCACUCAUCCUUAAAUAACGCAACUUUUAUGUAAUUUGAGACAUCCUGUAUUUCUAACGCUUUUCGAUAUCCCUGAAGUGUCCCUCUACUCCCUCUAAGUCUAAAUAGUUCUAACCCUGUAUAUUAGAACAUUGUGAUUAGUGAUUACUGGCCUUAAAAUAUCAAAAUUAAAAGGGUUUGUCCAAUUGCAAGUCCUGAGUCAGUCAUAUAAUAAUAAGACCUGUAUUCAAGACGACUCCUCUGUUCUGCGUGUUUGUGUUUUGGAUAAUGGAUCGAACGGACUCACCUUCUAUAUUACAGUCUUAUAAUUUGCAGUUGCGUCUAAAUAUCGAAAAUUUCAGUACAACUGAGGAAAACUAUUACCAUUGUUCAUCAUAUUUUUUUCUGAAUAAAUAUCAGAAAUAAACCUGAAA